Molecule: ribosomal RNA, 446 nt
Filed under: uncultured bacterium
Lineage: Bacteria
Description: partial 16S ribosomal RNA
Rfam family: Bacterial small subunit ribosomal RNA
Source: RNAcentral
CCUACGGGAGGCAGCAGUCGAGAAUCAUUCACAAUGGGGGAAUCCCUGAUGGUGCGACGCCGCGUGGGGGAAUGAAGGUCUUCGGAUUGUAAACCCCUGUCAUGUGGGAGCAAAUUAAAAAGAUAGUACCACAAGAGGAAGAGACGGCUAACUCUGUGCCAGCAGCCGCGGUAAUACAGAGGGCUCAAGCGUUGUUCGGAAUCACUGGGCGUAAAGAGUGCGUAGGCUGUUUCGUAAGUCGUGUGUGAAAGGCGCGGGCUCAACCCGCGGACGGCACAUGAUACUGCGAGACUAGAGUAAUGGAGGGGGAACCGGAAUUCUCGGUGUAGCAGUGAAAUGCGUAGAUAUCGAGAGGAACACUCGUGGCGAAGGCGGGUUCCUGGACAUUAACUGACGCUGAGGCACGAAGGCCAGGGGAGCGAAAGGGAUUAGAUACCCCAGUAGUC